Long non-coding RNA from Myotis davidii, 342 nucleotides. RefSeq lists it as uncharacterized. The transcript has 2 exons. The record is from RefSeq and is a predicted model, not a curated record. Lineage: Eukaryota; Metazoa; Chordata; Mammalia; Chiroptera; Vespertilionidae.
CUCCACCGGGUCCCUAACCCCGCGGGGCCCCGCUCCUCCUGUUAGCACCGCCAAGGGCCUCGGCGGUUCGCUCACCAGCGUCAGCGGGAUGCCCACGCACAGAACAGGCAGUGAUGGCCUCGGCCGGGUGCUCAGGGGGUUAGCGCGUCCUCUCACCCGCCGAGGUUGCAGCUUCCAUCCCGCGUCAGGGCACAUACGAGAACCCACCAAUGAAAAACAAACAACGAAAAAGAAUCAACCCACAAAUGCAUAAGUAAGUGGAGCAACACACCGGCCUGAGGCAGGCCUCUCUCUAAAGUUAAUUUGUUUAAUAACCAAAAAACGAACUAAGACAGGCAGUGA